This is a non-coding RNA of Bos taurus (domestic cattle), 73 nucleotides long. Lineage: Eukaryota; Metazoa; Chordata; Mammalia; Artiodactyla; Bovidae. The record is from Rfam.
UCCCUGAUAUCUCAGUUGUUAAAGAAUCUGCCUGUAAUGCAGGAGACCCCAAUUCAAUUCCUGGGUCAGGAUG